UACGUAGGGUGCAAGCGUUAAUCGGAAUUACUGGGCGUAAAGCGUGCGCAGGCGGUUUUGUAAGUCUGAUGUGAAAUCCCGGGCUCAACCUGGGAAUUGCAUUGGAGACUGCAAGGCUAGAAUCUGGCAGAGGGGGGUAGAAUUCCACGUGUAGCAGUGAAAUGCGUAGAGAUGUGGAGGAACACCGAUGGCGAAGGCAGCCCCCUGGGUCAAGAUUGACGCUCAUGCACGAAAGCGUGGGGAGCAAACAGG
Molecule: ribosomal RNA, 252 nt
Filed under: uncultured bacterium
Lineage: Bacteria
Description: partial 16S ribosomal RNA
Rfam family: Bacterial small subunit ribosomal RNA
Source: RNAcentral